This 597-nucleotide ribosomal RNA is filed under the name Cutaneotrichosporon dermatis. Its description in RNAcentral is "partial large subunit ribosomal RNA". It matches the Rfam family "Eukaryotic large subunit ribosomal RNA", at positions 62 to 649 of the family's 3401-position model. The record is from RNAcentral. Lineage: Eukaryota; Fungi; Basidiomycota; Tremellomycetes; Trichosporonales; Trichosporonaceae.
AAACUAACUAGGAUUCCCUUAGUAACGGCGAGUGAACCGGGAAAAGCUCAAAUUUGUAAUCUGGCUGUCUUCGAUAGUCCGAGUUGUAAUCUAUAGACGUGUUUUCCGUGCUGGACCGUAUCUAAGUCCCUUGGAACAGGGUAUCAAAGAGGGUGACAAUCCCGUGCUUGAUACGACCACCAGUGCUCUGUGAUACACGCUCUACGAGUCGAGUUGUUUGGGAAUGCAGCUCAAAAUGGGUGGUAAAUUCCAUCUAAAGCUAAAUAUUGGCGAGAGACCGAUAGCGAACAAGUACCGUGAGGGAAAGAUGAAAAGCACUUUGGAAAGAGAGUUAAACAGUACGUGAAAUUGUUGAAAGGGAAACGAUUGAAAUCAGUCGUGUUCUUUGGAUUCAGCUAGUUCUUCUAGUCUACUUCCAUUGAACGGGUCAACAUCAGUUUUGUCCGGUGGAUAAAGAUAGUAGGAAUGUAGCUCCCCCGGGAGUGUUAUAGACUAUUAUUGCAUACACUGGGUGAGACUGAGGACUGCAGCUCGCCUUUUGGCCGGUCUUCGGACACGUUCGAGCUUAGGAUGUUGACAUAAUGGCUUUAAACGACC